UCAGGCAUACCGCUUGGAUUCCUUGUGCAUGGGUUUCACACCCACAACUCGUUCCAGAAGCAGCAAAAGCUGCUGGGUUUUUCGCGCCUGGGCCCAUCGUCAGUAGCCUUGCGCUACUGGGCAUUGCUCCGCUGCCACGUGCGGCCUUUUUGGUUGUUGUUCAGCCCGUGUCCAAAAAUGGCCUCUUUUUUUUCUCCUCUGCAGCCCGCCAAGGCUGCCUUUCUCCUUCUUGGAUUUUUAAGCCCAUUCCUCUACAUUAGGACUAGCAGUCCGCAGGAAAAAGGAAAAAAUAUUCCAGUAGUCCACUGGGUUUUUUUUACAACCCAAGCCCUUAUUGGGCUUCUCUUUUGUCAAGGCCCACAACCCAAUUUGCUGGGUUGUUACUCAUUUACCCCAUGCCUAAUUCGAGCCUAAUUUUUUCUAUGGCCUCCGGCCAACAUCCAAUAAUAAAUAGACCUAGUCAAAUUUUAUUUUCUUUGUUUCUACAAUCGACCCCAAAUAGUCACGAUCUAUUGAAUUAAUUAAAACUGACUACCAUUCCAUUAAUCUGACAAUUAAUUCAAAAUUAUUGGCCUGAAGUCCACUUUUGGACAUUAACGAUUCAAUAAUUUAUUUCUCUUCUUUGAACUGUUGACUCACUUUUGUAGUCCCGAAACCCUCACACUUGAGUUCCUGAAGCAACUCAAAUCCACUACACUUAAAUUAGCAUAUUGCAUUUUGUGUUCUUGAAAGGAGCAUAUUUAUGCGACUUAGU
This 754-nucleotide long non-coding RNA is filed under the name Malus domestica (apple). RNAcentral describes it as "long non-coding RNA (MDOM_LNC008586)". The record is from RNAcentral. Lineage: Eukaryota; Viridiplantae; Streptophyta; Magnoliopsida; Rosales; Rosaceae.